GUUCCUCUUUCUUGCUUAGCUAGAGCUCGCGGGAAGCUGCUCCUUCGAGCGCAGUGCAGAAGAGAGCAGAAAUAUCUCCGUCCCGAUGGGAGCGGCCACCGUGCUCUUCCAGCCGCCCAGCCCGGCUCCGGCGGUCAUCGUGCCACCGCCCGGAGGGAGACUCUUUACCUCUUCCCAUUCCACCAGUCAGACGUGUCUUCUACGGCUUCGGCUUCGCCAGAAGAAGUUCGUUGUCCCGGCGGCAAAGAAGCAGCCACUCACUGAGAUAAAGACAAAAGAGCCAGAGAGUGGAGAUUCGUCAGAGCUGUCGAGAGGCGAGAACAGUGGAUGUUCUGAUAUAGGAUGGCUGCCUUCUUUUCCUCACGUGUCGGUAGCUUCCAUGUCCAAUUUCCUCUUCGGUUAUCACAUCGGAGUUAUGAACGGUCCUAUAGUGUCCGUUGCACGAGAACUGGGGUUUGAAGGAAAUGCUCUUCUUGAAGGGCUCGUGGUGAGCAUAUUUAUAGCUGGGGCUUUUGUUGGAAGCCUAAGCUGUGGGUCCCUUGUGGACAAACUUGGUUGUCGCCGUACAUUUCAGAUUGAUACCAUCCCCUUGAUUCUUGGUGCAAUCAUAAGUGCACAAGCCCACUCGUUGGAUGAAAUCCUUCUGGGAAGAUUUCUUGUAGGCCUUGGUAUUGGCGUGAACACAGUUCUCGUGCCAAUUUAUAUCUCGGAGGUUGCUCCAACAAAAUAUAGGGGUUCACUCGGAACAUUGUGCCAAAUUGGCACUUGCCUGGGAAUUAUUGCAUCUCUAUUUCUCGGACUUCCAUCGCAAGAUGAUCCACAUUGGUGGAGAACAAUGCUCUAUAUUGCCAGUGUUCCUGGUAUUAUUCUUGCAUUUGGCAUGCAGUACGCUGUAGAAAGCCCUCGAUGGCUAUGCAAAGUGGGGAGACUAGAUGAUGCUAAGGCAGUUAUACGUAAUUUAUGGGGAGCAUCUGAAGUUGACAGAGCAAUUGGAGAAUUUCAGUCUGUCAUCAAGAAUGAUGGAACUGAUUUGGAAAGCAGAUGGUUGGAACUCUUGGAGGAACCACACUGUAGAGUUGCAUGUAUUGGAGGUGCCCUUUUUGUGCUACAACAGUUUGCCGGUAUAAAUGGAGUCCUAUAUUUCUCAUCCCUAACUUUCCAGGAUGUUGGAAUUACAAGUGGUGCUUUGGCGAGCUUGUUGAUUGGAUUGACCAACCUCGGAGGUGCUAUCUGUGCAUUAUACUUGAUGGAUAAGCAGGGGAGGAAAACGCUAUUAAUUGGAAGCUACUUGGGGAUGGCUGUUUCUAUGUUUCUCGCAGUAUAUGCAAUUGAUUUUCCACCAGAUGAAGAGCUUGGCCAUACUUUAUCAAUUUUAGGAACAGUCAUCAUCCACCAAACUUGUUGGACCAUAACAGGUACAUAUUUACUUUUGCCAUUGGAGCUGGGCCUGUGACUGGUCUCAUCAUCCCGGAACUCAGCGGCAGUAGGACACGUGGGAAGAUUAUGGGAUUCAGCUUCUGUGUCCAUUGGGUAUGCAACUUCUUGGUGGGUCUAUUCUUCCUGGAACUGGUGGAGAAAUUUGGAGUGGACUCGGUGUAUGCCGGCUUUGGCGGAGUGUCCGCGUUGUCAGCAAUAUUUGCUUACUCCUUUCUAAUUGAAACAAAAGGCCGGUCUCUUGAAGAGAUAGAGAUGUCUCUUAAUCCCAAUUUUAAAGGUAGAGAUAGAGAUAUAUAGACCAGUGGUACUCCGAUUUCAGACACAAAUGGGCCUUACCAAAGAUGAGGGAAGGUCUUGCCAAUAAAAAAUUUACAGAAGAUGAGGAAAGCUCUCGGUGGGCGGUAAGCAGAAAGAGUGUAUUCUGUUCUGUGGUAGGUACGAGGCUGGUUUAUUUUGAGAGCAGCAAAUCGAGAUGAACAAUAGCAGCACCAUACACAAAUUAUUUGUCUGAGCUUGUGCUGAUCCGAGCUUGGGAUUUUUAUGUGGGUGGCUUAUCGUUAGAUGUUGCUCCUACUUACGGAGUGGCGAGCUAUGACAUCGGAGUGCCUCCGAAAAGCAGUCAAUUGGACGGUGGUUAUUCCAAAUACCUUCUUGUUAGCAAUGAGGGGUUGUCAACAUGGUUGUCUCUGGAGUGCUCUGCUUUAUUUUACUUCAUCUUAAAGUUUGGCAUAUUACUUAACAUACAUGCAUGCUUUUCAACUGCUAUAACAUAAUAGUCUGUUUUUAGCUGUCCACGAGUAUCAGAUUUAUUUCCUUGAUGUCUA
Punica granatum (pomegranate) is the source of this 2261-nucleotide non-coding RNA. Lineage: Eukaryota; Viridiplantae; Streptophyta; Magnoliopsida; Myrtales; Lythraceae. The record is from RefSeq and is a predicted model, not a curated record.